Long non-coding RNA from Rhipicephalus microplus (southern cattle tick), 356 nucleotides. The record is from RefSeq and is a predicted model, not a curated record. NCBI's taxonomy places the organism in Eukaryota, Metazoa, Arthropoda, Arachnida, Ixodida, Ixodidae.
CUUCAGACUCCCUUACCAUGCUACAGAAAAUCUAGGAAACUGGUGUGUCGGCUGGAGAAUCUUCUCGGGCAGCCAAGGGAGGCUUUUGUCGAAGCCGAAAAGGCUAACAUUGGCGAAGGCAUUCUGUUUGAAAAAAAAAAAAAACACUUUCGGAUCGGCUGCACAAUCACUGCCAUGGGCUGCCGAAAAAAUUCGCCCGAAACCUGGUGCGACACCUCUUUACUGAAGAGGAGCUCAAAGGGAAGAGUUUGUAUGGAAGGGGCUGCAACAAACACAAAGAGGUCCCGAUGAAGGAGGCCCUUGAUCUGGUGUGGUUAAAUGCAGUUAUUGGGUACGCAUGUAGCAAUUACACAACA